AUGCAAGUGAAGGAAGAGGGAGAUUGUAGGAGAGGGAAAGGAGAACUGAGGAGGAGAAGGAAUCUGAAAAUGCAGGCCUUCCCUUUGCUAAUUACCAGGGUAGAAUGCAGUACAGCAUCAGAAGCUAUUUUGCUGCAAGAUGUGCCAAGCUGCACCUCAGCCACAAUCCUUCCCAUCAAGAGGGAAUCCCAGAUACAAGAGUCAGAGAAGCACAGAAGCAUUUAUGAAGAGGCCUUGCUCCUGCUAUAAAGACUCGUGCUAGAUUGUUCCUUAUGGCUUUGUGUUAUAGACACCUCCAUGUAAGGACCAAAUUCUGUGUUCAGCAACAUGAAUAUUAAUCCAGAGUAAUUCCACUGAAGUCAGUGGAGUACACUGGAUCUAUGCUGGAGUGAGUGAGGGCAUGCAUGAACAAAUGCCUACAUGAUAUAGCCUGAAUGUCUACACAACCCCCAAGGUUGUUCCUCAAUAGUACAUGCUCCCCAGCUUUUCUAGGCAUGAGACAACAGUUUCCAUAUUCCUUUUUCUGACCAGUUACUGCCUUCAGGACACCUCCAUUCCUCAUUGAAUGGUUCUCCCUUGAUAUCAUCACCUCAGGAGCACCUCUGCUGGUUUCUCACACGGCCAUAAAUAAUGCAAUCAGAGAGGAUUAUUGUAACACGUAACAACACUAUUUACAGAAUAUGAAACAAGAUAAAAAUGGGUGUAGAGAAAACAUAUUUGGCUGCAAAUCUGCUGAAGUGUAUUGCUCUGGGUUGGCUUUUGCUGCAUCUUUGUCAUAGACUCAGACUUUAAGGCCAGAAGGGACCAUCAUGAUCAUCUAAUUUGACCUCCUGCACAUUGCAGGCCACAGAACCUCACCCACUCACUCCUGAAAUAGACCUGUAACCUCUGGCUGAGUUACUGAGUUCCUCAAAUCAUGAUUUAAAGACUUCAAGUUAAAGACUGUGCCAAUGGGAGCUGCAGGGGUGGCACCUGCAGACGGGGCAGUGUGCAGAGCUGCCUGGCCGCACCUCCACGUAGGAGCUGGAGGGAGGACAUGCCGCUGCUUUCGGGAGCUGCUUGAGGUAAGUACCGCCCAGAGCCUGCACCCCUGAGUGCCUCCCGUGCCUCAACCCCCUGCCCCAGCCCCAGCCCUGAUCUGCCCUCCAAACCCCUUGAUCCCAGCCUGGAGCACCCUCCUGCACCC
RNAcentral lists this long non-coding RNA (1186 nucleotides) under Chrysemys picta bellii (western painted turtle). Its description in RNAcentral is "lncRNA (ENSCPBG00000025088.1)". The record is from RNAcentral. Lineage: Eukaryota; Metazoa; Chordata; Testudines; Emydidae.